This is a non-coding RNA of Fukomys damarensis (Damara mole-rat), 108 nucleotides long. Lineage: Eukaryota; Metazoa; Chordata; Mammalia; Rodentia; Bathyergidae. The record is from Rfam.
AAUGGACCUGAGUAGGGAGGUAUGUGAAGAAGGUUCUAGAAGACCUUGUGAUGGUCCUCAUGAAGCUCAGUGAGGAGAGCUUACUGGAACAGCAGAGAGAGAAAGGGG